CUCUCCCCCUCCCUUUUCGGCCUGCUUGGCCCAGCCAGCCCGCCAACAUUCCCUCCCCCCUCCUCUCUCUCUCCAGCAACUGACAUGCGGGGCCCACCCAUCAGCUUCUUCUCCUUCCCCAACUGGUCCCUUCGCACGCCCACGCCGCGCCCCGCUCCCCACUCCCCACGUCUCCUCUCCCCCACGCCUCGGCUGUUUUGUGGAGUGCCCGUGCCCGAGCCGCACUCCCUCUCCUCAUUCCCCUCCCAUUCUACUCACUCGCUCGCUCGAACGCGCACUGCAAGACCGCCACCGGAGCCGCGACUCGCCGCACAUCGCCCCGACGAACCGAGCCGUCCCGCUCCUCAUUGUUGCCCUCGGUGAGCUCGCCAUUCUCCCCACUCUCUCCCGCACUCUUCCCCACGCGAUUUGGUGCAUUCUAGUGCCUUAGCCGCGAGGUCCGACGGGCCGUUCAUGGCGCCGCCGCGAACCACCAUGGAAACUGCUUUCUCCGGCCGCGCAAAGACUGGGAACGCGCUCGCCUUGAUCUCCUCUCUCUCCCGGUGUUCUCGGUUCAAAAAACGGUGCCCCAUAGUCUCCUAACGCCCAAUGCUAGCAAGCUCCGAGGCUACCGACCAUGGCACGCCCCCCACAGGCGCACCCCUGGCCACGCUUUGGGCAUGGGCGGACUCGCGACGGUCUCCUCUUUCUUCCAGUUCAAACGGAAUCGAAAACCGUGCACCGUAGCUCCUUAUUCACUUGCUCCGGUGAGCUUCGGCCAGCCUGCCCUCCCUCUCUUUUUUUUGUUUUCUUUCUUUUCUUUUAAUCCUGCGCGUUCAUCUGUGAUCCAACGGCCGUGAGUAGCCCGUACCCAUUCGAGGGCAGCUUUGUUAAAGAGCCCCCAAGAACUUCUUUAUCCCACAUGCAGUCCCUAGCUGGAAUUUCCCUGGAUUUCUUUAUUUGUUUUAAAAACAAUUAUACUCAGCACUAUUUAUAGAAUUGCCACUAAAUCGUUUUAGUUAUAAAAUCGUCAUUUGAACUCCAGUUCGAUCCGUUCAAGUUGUGUUAGUUUCGCAAUUUCAUAAGUUUCGCGUUGGUACCACUGUUAUCUAGGUUCACCACUGUUAGUUUUCCUAAAUAAAUAUGCGUCCUUAGAUUGCUUUUGAUGUCACGUUUAUGGCGUAGAUUUUGCGUCGUAACUCCAUUUUCCGUGAAUUUCUCGUUGACGUGAUCGUAGCAGCGUGUUGAUAAUUUUGGAAAACUUCUUAUUUAGAUUUAUUUACUGUUGGUGUACUGUUCUAAUUAUAAUCUUGUUUGCUUCGUGUAUGUCUGUCUCCGAUUGUUUGUGUGUUGAUAAUCGAUGAUCGAGAUUAGAUGGUGGGCAUUACUUCGGUGAUCAAGAUCAGAGCCUUGGAAGCAAGUAAGGACAGCAGGACCAGCAGGACCAAUUGGAUCAAGGCAAGUAUAAGAUUUGGGAUUUAAUUCUAUGACCAUGUUCUGGUGACUAGAUUAAUAUAAAGCAACAUAUUAUAAUAAUGACUUUUUAGCAAGUUGAGGAUUUAUUCGUAAGUGAUAACGGGAUAAAAGUGCAACCAUGAGGGCUAUAAUGGCUCUGGCUUUAGUCAAGUAUGAGUAAAUUUUCUAUCUUGUUAGAGGUUACCUGAGUGGCGCAAAUGGGGGAUAGCAGACCGUGGAUUCCCUGCGUGGUAGAAUCACAUGGACUGACUACCGAAACCAAGCGGCCCUAACUUGUUAGACGAACCUUUAAAAAACUUCAUAGUGAUCCCUGCUGGCCUCCCUUGGAGGGGGUUAAGAGGUUAGCUACCUCAGGCGAAAGGGUAAAACAUGACUCAUGGUUAAAGAUGUACGACCUCUGC
RNAcentral lists this long non-coding RNA (1856 nucleotides) under Sorghum bicolor (sorghum). RNAcentral describes it as "long non-coding RNA (SBIC_LNC014687)". The record is from RNAcentral. Lineage: Eukaryota; Viridiplantae; Streptophyta; Magnoliopsida; Poales; Poaceae.